Molecule: ribosomal RNA, 551 nt
Filed under: Heratemita alboplagiata
Lineage: Eukaryota; Metazoa; Arthropoda; Arachnida; Araneae; Salticidae
Description: partial 16S ribosomal RNA
Rfam family: Bacterial large subunit ribosomal RNA (bases 169-462)
Source: RNAcentral
UUAAUAGUAUAAUCUGCUCAAUGAUAAUAAAUAGCCGCAAUUAGUGCUAAGGUAGCAUAAUAAUUUGUCUUCUAAAUAAAGACUAGAACAAAAGAUUUAACAUUUCAUUAAAUUUCUUUAUUUUAAUAACUUUAAAUUAUACUAAAUGUAAAAAUACAUUUAUUAAAAAGAAAGACGAUAAGACCCUGUUGAACUUAACUUAAGUUAAACUGGGGAAGUAAAUUAAUUAUUAUUUUAAUAUAAGUAAAAUUAAAAAAAUCUAAUACAAUUAAUUAUUCAGUUACCACAGGGAUAACAGCAUAAUUUAUUUUAAAAGACCUUAUAAAAAUAUUAAGUUAUGACCUCGAUGUUGAAUUAAUAACCUAAUUAAAGCAAAAAUUAAAAAAGGAAGUCUGUUCGACUUUUAAAAAAUUACAUGAUUUGAGUUCAGACCGGUGUAAGCCAGGUCGGUUUCUAUCUUCUAUAAAAAAUAUUACAGUACGAAAGGACCUAAUAAUAUUUUAUAAUAUUGGCAGAUAAAUGCAUUAGAAUUAGAAUCUAAUUAAACUUUA